CCCAGUUUGGCCGAUUUUGGCGAUCAGUUUGGCCGAUUACGUCAAAUACGACCUGGCAACGCUGGUCACACGAGUCGUUCGUCUUGUGUCAGUCUUGUGUGGAGUUAAAUUUGUGCCGCAGCCUGCAGUGAGCAAUAUUUAUAAUUCAUUAUGUUAUCAUCUACGUAAACGUUAAAGGUUGAAAAUCUUUUUCUGGCGAUUUAUGAUCAUGAUAUCAAGAGUUAUUCCUUCCAUCUAAUGAAACGAUGACGACUCGAAUCAAAUUUAAUUUACGCAUCCUAACAAAGACAAUUUUUCAUCUGAAAUUUACUAAGAACAUUGACCAUUGUUGGUAUGACUCGACCCUAUAACUAGUUUGAAAAUUGCUUUAUUAUUCGUGAUAAGCAUUUAAACAUAGUUAUUGUACAACCAUAAAAUACAACAAACAUAAACAAGAUAUUCAAGUUAGAUUUCAAACAUUGUAUAAGGAAAUGAAUAUAAGUGAAGCAGAACAUUAAAUCACUGUGUUUAAAGAGA
This is a long non-coding RNA of Xenia sp. Carnegie-2017, 516 nucleotides long. RefSeq lists it as uncharacterized. The record is from RefSeq and is a predicted model, not a curated record. The transcript has 2 exons. NCBI's taxonomy places the organism in Eukaryota, Metazoa, Cnidaria, Anthozoa, Malacalcyonacea, Xeniidae.